RNAcentral lists this ribosomal RNA (460 nucleotides) under uncultured bacterium. Its description in RNAcentral is "partial 16S ribosomal RNA". It matches the Rfam family "Bacterial small subunit ribosomal RNA", at positions 338 to 795 of the family's 1533-position model. The record is from RNAcentral.
CCUACGGGUGGCAGCAGUGAGGAAUAUUGGUCAAUGGACGAGAGUCUGAACCAGCCAAGUAGCGUGAAGGAUGACUGCCCUAUGGGUUGUAAACUUCUUUUAUAUGGGAAUAAAAUGUUCCACGUGUGGGAUUUUGUAUGUACCAUAUGAAUAAGGAUCGGCUAACUCCGUGCCAGCAGCCGCGGUAAUCCGGAGGAUCGGAGCGUUAUCCGGAUUUAUUGGGUUUAAAGGGAGCGUAGGUGGAUUUUUAAGUCAGUUGUGAAAGCUUGCGGCUUAACCGUAAAAUUGCAGUUGAAACUGGCAGUCUGGAGUACAGUAGAGGUGGGCGGAAUUCGUGGUGUAGCGGUGAAAUGCUUAGAUAUCACGAAGAACGCCGAUUGCGAAGGCAGUUCACUGGACUGCAACUGACACUGAGGCUCGAAAGUGUGGGUAGCAAACAGGAUUAGAUACCCCGGUAGUC